This is a long non-coding RNA of Myxocyprinus asiaticus (Chinese sucker), 620 nucleotides long. RefSeq lists it as uncharacterized. The transcript has 3 exons. Lineage: Eukaryota; Metazoa; Chordata; Actinopteri; Cypriniformes; Catostomidae. The record is from RefSeq and is a predicted model, not a curated record.
GCAGCAGCAUCAUGGCCACGAAUGGCUUGAGUUGUGAGAGCGCAACCAUCCAAAGCGUUUUACAUCCAAAAAAAGAGUCCACAAGAGAAAAGAGAUAAUAAAUACAACAGGUAUUUCAUUAAUUUUCGAGCAACUCCAUAUGUCAGACCUUCAUUGAAGCCACUCCCACAACAAUUCACCAAUAAAUACUGUGAAUAUUCCCAUCAUCCUACAAGAGAAGAAGUGCUUCAGACCAGCAGGAAGAACUCCAGGUGUAACAACUGAAAUGUGACAUAUAUAUAUAUAUAUAUUAUGGAAAAAAUGGAGUUUGUUAAAGAGGAAAGUGAGGACAUGAGUGAUGAAGAAUCAUGCAGAAUGAAACAUGAAGAUACUGAGAAACAAAGAGGCCUGAUGGAAGAAGUGAAAAGGGGAAAUCAAGAGCUGAAUGAAGUGGAGGAGAAACAUCAGUAUGAAGAAAAAUCCAACAGUUGCUCACAGACUGAAAACAAUUCCUUUAAAAAAAGAACUCGACGACCAGCAGCUGAAAACUCAUUGACCUGCCCUCAGUGUGGAAAGAUUUUCAAACGUAGAGAACACUUUAAUAAUCACAUGAGAAUUCACACUGGAGAGAAGCCGUUCAC